AAAUACAGAGCAAUGGAGACCAAAGCAGAGCUUGUUUUCAUUCCAUCGCCGGGAUUGGGUCACGUCGCUUCCGCUGUCGAAUUCGCCAAACUCCUCCUUGCUACAAAUGAACGACUAUGCAUUUCUCUUCUCGUCAUGAAACAUCCUGCUGAUUUUGGUGUUCAAUCUUAUCUCCAAUCACUCCCUUCUCUGUCCCGUUUUCGCUUCGUUGAUGUUUCAAUUGACCCGAAAUUAGUUGUUCCACUUUUGUCUAACAAGGACAG
This 263-nucleotide unclassified non-coding RNA is filed under the name Hevea brasiliensis (rubber tree). Lineage: Eukaryota; Viridiplantae; Streptophyta; Magnoliopsida; Malpighiales; Euphorbiaceae. The record is from RNAcentral.